This 460-nucleotide ribosomal RNA is filed under the name uncultured bacterium. Its description in RNAcentral is "partial 16S ribosomal RNA". It matches the Rfam family "Bacterial small subunit ribosomal RNA", at positions 338 to 795 of the family's 1533-position model. The record is from RNAcentral.
CCUACGGGAGGCAGCAGUGAGGAAUAUUGGUCAAUGGACGAGAGUCUGAACCAGCCAAGUAGCGUGAAGGAUGACUGCCCUGUGGAUUGUAAACUUCUUUUAUCUGGGAAUAAAACAGGGUAUGCAUACCCUCUUGUAUGUACCAUAUGAAUAAGGAUCGGCUAACUCCGUGCCAGCAGCCGCGGUAAUACGGAGGAUCCGAGCGUUAUCCGGAUUUAUUGGGUUUAAAGGGAGCGUAGGUGGAUUGUUAAGUCAGUUGUGAAAGUUUGCGGCUCAACCGUAAAAUUGCAGUUGAAACUGGCAGUCUUGAGUACAGGAGAGGUGGGCGGAAUUCGCGGUGUAGCGGUGAAAUGCUUAGAUAUCACGAAGAACUCCGAUUGCGAAGGCAGCUUACUGGACUGCAACUGACACUGAUGCUCGAAAGUGUGGGUAUCAAACAGGAUUAGAUACCCUAGUAGUC